RNAcentral lists this ribosomal RNA (301 nucleotides) under uncultured bacterium. RNAcentral describes it as "partial 16S ribosomal RNA". It matches the Rfam family "Bacterial small subunit ribosomal RNA", at positions 509 to 809 of the family's 1533-position model. The record is from RNAcentral.
CAGUAGCCGCGGUAAUACAGAGGGUGCGAGCGUUAAUCGGAUUUACUGGGCGUAAAGCGUGCGUAGGCGGCUUCUUAAGUCGGAUGUGAAAUCCCUGAGCUUAACUUAGGAAUUGCAUUCGAUACUGGGAAGCUAGAGUAUGGGAGAGGAUGGUAGAAUUCCAGGUGUAGCGGUGAAAUGCGUAGAGAUCUGGAGGAAUACCGAUGGCGAAGGCAGCCAUCUGGCCUAAUACUGACGCUGAGGUACGAAAGCAUGGGGAGCAAACAGGAUUAGAUACCCCUGUAGUCCCUGUCUCUUAUCC